GCAAUUUGAUGUAUGUAACUCCUAAAAUUUACGAGUUAUGUUUGAAAAACCAUGUCUGAAAAUCGAUUGUUAUUGAUACUUUGAAAAUAAGCUAAGAAAUCGUGAAAAACUAUGAUAAACUUGUUUUGCGUAUGCUAUAGGAAAACAUAUUUUUCAAUUUUCAAGUGACGAGCUUAUUUUGCUUUCGACAAAUACAAAUGUCUACUUAUAUGCAUUUCGUAACAGAAAUAUAACCUUAAACAAGGUCCAAAGACACAAAAUUAAUAAUGGAAAUGAUAUGCCUUCACACCCUUUUGAAUGCUUCACAUACUAGUUUGAAGUCUGCAAAUAUAUAUAUGAGAAGCUGAUGCCUAUUCGAGACUAGCAAAGCAUGUAACUAGAUUGCUCAAUUGGGUAUUGUAAUAUAAGUACCGUGGACGCAAAACUAAGGCCUCCUUGAAAGUGUGCAGAUCGUCGCCGAUGAUGCCGCCAGUGCCGCCUGUGGCACCUACUGUCGCCGCCUGACCGCUGGCGCCGUUUAGCAAAUGCGUUGGCUGUCCGCCGGCGGUUGUGGGUGGCAUCAUGGUCAGUCCGUUGCUGGCAAAGCCUAUCGCCGAGCCAGUGACACUAUUGGGGCUGCCGUUGACUUGAUGAUGAUGUACUCCGCCGCCAUGAUGAUGUUCCG
Molecule: long non-coding RNA, 664 nt
Organism: Drosophila montana
Lineage: Eukaryota; Metazoa; Arthropoda; Insecta; Diptera; Drosophilidae
Exons: 2
Source: RefSeq, a predicted model, not a curated record